AAUCCUUUAUUCUAAAUGCUUAUUAAAUCAUGCAACCAUUAACCCUAAUUUUUCCCUCUAAUUAUCUAUCAUUAAAUGCUAAUGCUAAAAAAAUUCGCUCCUAUGCAAGUUCAAUUUGAAUUUAAAAUUUAAAAUUGACUUUUGGUGUAUCCCAUGCAAGCCCAAAUAAUCAUCCACUCAGCAUGAUUUAUGCGGUUAAAUUCUCUCAACUUCUCAAAAAAUCCAUCGUCCCCUCCAAUUCCUUUGUUUUGAUCUCCACCACUUCACCCUCUCUCUUUCAAACCUUCUGAUUGAUUAACGAUUCCGUCGGCAACCUUCUCAAACUUUCUGAUUGACUUUCCGUGGGAACAGGAAGCGCAUCAACGAUUCCGGCGGCGAAGAUAAUUCUUCCAAGAGAAAAUCCAAAAUGGUGAAAGCUUCCGAAGAAGAAGGUGCUAAAGACUAUCUGCAAGCCUGAAUCGAUACAUAAAGAACAAUUGAAAAUAAGCGGGAAGUUGAUGAAACUAUCUACAAGCCUGAUGAUGAAGAGGUUUGGUGUCUUUGGCCUAUUCACAUGGGAAAAGUGUGAAGGCUCUUUUCUCACCAUAUUAAAGUUAAUUGCUUUUUGUAUUCUGUACAGUGUGAAAGCUUCAUGAGUUAAUGGCAACAUGUUUUCUUUUUGCCUUCAUUUUAGUGUGUGCAACAAAUGUUGAUGCUUUUGUUUUUUUAUUGUGUUUUAACUCUGCUAAACUUAUUUUAAAAUGAAAUUGGUUGUGAUAUACUGCAUGAGCUCAGCAUUAUAACAUUCUUUGAUAUUAUCUUGCAGAUACUUGAUUGGAGCCUAAACUCAGAAGAGUAUAAAUAAAGGAUUAACAUAGAAAAGUGAUAUACUUGAUUCUACAUGAUAUACUUGAUUGCAGUGCUAAUUUACAUGAUUGCAGAUACUUGAGCUCACCUUUUGAAGUCUAAAGUGAUAUACUUGAUUGGAUCUACAUGAUUUCAGUAACAAAGAAAAGUAUAUUAACACCAUGAAGCUAAUGACCAAGAUGUGUUGUCAAAACUAAUGUCUCAAUGCAAAUUGAGAUGGUCAAUUAGUUGUUCAUGAUUUUUUUUUUCUAUAUAGGUGCUUCAACCCGGUGUCUUUUAUAUGCAAUCUAUCCAGUGCUAAUUUACUGUUUUAUGGUUUAAAUUAAUGGCCAAAUCAUGCAUCCCUGUUAUUGCUUGAAUUUCGUGAGAGUCUGUGGAAACUGAGAUUAUAAUCUAACAACUUAUAAGAUCUGAUGUUGGUUAUGAAAGAUGUUGAAUAGGGAAGCAAACCAAGAGGCAGAUUGUCUAGCAAAGGAAGGAUCUUCGGUGACAGGACGACAUGUAGCGUGGUUUAUGAAUUAAGCUUUGUUUGGUUUCUGCAGGCUGUUGUUGAUCCGUUUGCAGAAGGUUUUCUGGUUAUUGCUUAAUGUCAUCUGUUUGGGAUAACCAAGAAUGCUGGUAGGAGUAGGUUUGUGCAUUUUCAGUUGUUUGUACAUAUUGGUGUUUCGUCCUUUAGUCAUGAGCAGACCUUUAGAUUAUUUUGUAGAGUUAUUUUCUGGUUUUGUUGCAGCAACAUGUUCUGCUAUGCUGCUAAUUUUACACUUUUGGUGGGGUUUUGGUGCAGCAGAAAGUUCUAAUUUGCUGCUAUUUUUGUUUGUUCAAGUCCUAUGGUGUCCAUGUUGCUUUUAAGGUUCAUGUAUUGGGACAAGGAAUGUUAAAACUUCAUUGUAUCGACAAGGACAAAGUUUUAAUGUUUCUAUCCAUAUUUUUCAAACAAUUUCAUACUCUUGAUUAGAUCACCUUUCAGAUUUUUGUAUUUUCAAAUGAUGAGAUGUUUAUAAUAAGAUGUUGUAAAUGAGUGAUAAUCCUUGCCUCUGUCAAAUUCAUUUUUUAAAGUUUUGUUGUCUUUGUAAAGUUAGUUGUGAUGUCUUUUAUUGAGUUUUCAUUGGCAUCUAUUCUUUUAGGGGAAAAAAUACUGAUGUGCAACUACUGAAAUCAUAGUGUUUAUUCAAUGAAUGACAAAACAUACUUGCA
Molecule: long non-coding RNA, 2040 nt
Organism: Medicago truncatula (barrel medic)
Lineage: Eukaryota; Viridiplantae; Streptophyta; Magnoliopsida; Fabales; Fabaceae
Exons: 4
Source: RefSeq, a predicted model, not a curated record